This 1489-nucleotide ribosomal RNA is filed under the name Lactiplantibacillus argentoratensis. RNAcentral describes it as "bacterial SSU rRNA". It matches the Rfam family "Bacterial small subunit ribosomal RNA". Lineage: Bacteria; Bacillati; Bacillota; Bacilli; Lactobacillales; Lactobacillaceae. The record is from RNAcentral.
GACGAACGCUGGCGGCGUGCCUAAUACAUGCAAGUCGAACGAACUCUGGUAUUGAUUGGUGCUUGCAUCAUGAUUUACAUUUGAGUGAGUGGCGAACUGGUGAGUAACACGUGGGAAACCUGCCCAGAAGCGGGGGAUAACACCUGGAAACAGAUGCUAAUACCGCAUAACAACUUGGACCGCAUGGUCCGAGCUUGAAAGAUGGCUUCGGCUAUCACUUUUGGAUGGUCCCGCGGCGUAUUAGCUAGAUGGUGGGGUAACGGCUCACCAUGGCAAUGAUACGUAGCCGACCUGAGAGGGUAAUCGGCCACAUUGGGACUGAGACACGGCCCAAACUCCUACGGGAGGCAGCAGUAGGGAAUCUUCCACAAUGGACGAAAGUCUGAUGGAGCAACGCCGCGUGAGUGAAGAAGGGUUUCGGCUCGUAAAACUCUGUUGUUAAAGAAGAACAUAUCUGAGAGUAACUGUUCAGGUAUUGACGGUAUUUAACCAGAAAGCCACGGCUAACUACGUGCCAGCAGCCGCGGUAAUACGUAGGUGGCAAGCGUUGUCCGGAUUUAUUGGGCGUAAAGCGAGCGCAGGCGGUUUUUUAAGUCUGAUGUGAAAGCCUUCGGCUCAACCGAAGAAGUGCAUCGGAAACUGGGAAACUUGAGUGCAGAAGAGGACAGUGGAACUCCAUGUGUAGCGGUGAAAUGCGUAGAUAUAUGGAAGAACACCAGUGGCGAAGGCGGCUGUCUGGUCUGUAACUGACGCUGAGGCUCGAAAGUAUGGGUAGCAAACAGGAUUAGAUACCCUGGUAGUCCAUACCGUAAACGAUGAAUGCUAAGUGUUGGAGGGUUUCCGCCCUUCAGUGCUGCAGCUAACGCAUUAAGCAUUCCGCCUGGGGAGUACGGCCGCAAGGCUGAAACUCAAAGGAAUUGACGGGGGCCCGCACAAGCGGUGGAGCAUGUGGUUUAAUUCGAAGCUACGCGAAGAACCUUACCAGGUCUUGACAUACUAUGCAAAUCUAAGAGAUUAGACGUUCCCUUCGGGGACAUGGAUACAGGUGGUGCAUGGUUGUCGUCAGCUCGUGUCGUGAGAUGUUGGGUUAAGUCCCGCAACGAGCGCAACCCUUAUUAUCAGUUGCCAGCAUUAAGUUGGGCACUCUGGUGAGACUGCCGGUGACAAACCGGAGGAAGGUGGGGAUGUCGUCAAAUCAUCAUGCCCCUUAUGACCUGGGCUACACACGUGCUACAAUGGAUGGUACAACGAGUUGCGAACUCGCGAGAGUAAGCUAAUCUCUUAAAGCCAUUCUCAGUUCGGAUUGUAGGCUGCAACUCGCCUACAUGAAGUCGGAAUCGCUAGUAAUCGCGGAUCAGCAUGCCGCGGUGAAUACGUUCCCGGGCCUUGUACACACCGCCCGUCACACCAUGAGAGUUUGUAACACCCAAAGUCGGUGGGGUAACCUUUUAGGAACCAGCCGCCUAAGGUGGGACAGAUGAUUAGGGUG